CAGGAAUCGACUACUACGGCCCCAAUGAGGUUUGCGUUCCAAAUCCUUGUCCCUCGGCCAACAUGACCUGCGUUGAGUUAAAGGGGAAUCCAAGAUACAGAUGUGAGUGUCCACAGGGAUACAUCGGUUCCGCAUGUGAAACAGAUGUUGAUGAGUGUUAUCCUGGACAUUACAAUUGUCACCAGGACGCUACUUGUGCAAACACAAUUGGCUCUUUCGCAUGCACAUGUAAACCUGGGUAUACAGGAAACGGAGUAAGCUGCGAAGG
Molecule: long non-coding RNA, 268 nt
Organism: Nematostella vectensis (starlet sea anemone)
Lineage: Eukaryota; Metazoa; Cnidaria; Anthozoa; Actiniaria; Edwardsiidae
Exons: 3
Source: RefSeq, a predicted model, not a curated record